RNAcentral lists this ribosomal RNA (321 nucleotides) under uncultured eukaryote. Its description in RNAcentral is "partial 18S ribosomal RNA". It matches the Rfam family "Eukaryotic small subunit ribosomal RNA", at positions 1470 to 1796 of the family's 1831-position model. The record is from RNAcentral.
CCCUUAGAUGUCCUGGGCCGCACGCGCGCUACACUGACAUGUUCAACAAGCCUCCUAGUUCGACAGGAUUUGGGAAAUCUUUGAACGCAUGUCGUGAUAGGGAUAGAUCAUUGCAAUUAUUGAUCUUGAACGAGGAAUUCCUAGUAAACGCGAGUCAUCAGCUCGCAUUGAUUACGUCCCUGCCCUUUGUACACACUGCCCGUCGCACCUACCGAUUGAAUGUUUCGGUGAAGAUUCCGGAUAGGACUUUUUUGAUUUAUUUCAAUUCUGUCUUAAAAGCUAUCUAAACCUCAACAUUUAGAGGAAGGUGAAGUCGUAACA